AGGGAGAAGAUGGACCCCCUGGUUUGCCUGGGGCCAAUGGCAAUAAUGGACAACCAGGUCCACCAGGACCACCUGGACCUAAGGGUGAAUCGCAGAUAUCAGUGAUUUCAUUACCAGGGCCACCUGGGUCUCCUGGGCAGGAUGGACACCCAGGAAGACCAGGUGUACCUGGAUAUAUUGGACUACCAGGAGACGCUGGACCACGGGGCUCUGUCGGACUUUCUGGCCGCCCAGGGCCUCCAGGAUCUAAGGGUCAAGGAGGCAGCAGCGGCUUCCCUGGACCUCGCGGUCCAAAGGGGAGAAAAGGACCACCAGGACUGCCUGGGCAACCGGGUCGGAUUAAGCAGUUUGUUUCUGGCACCAUCCUGUUGAAGGUAUAGUAACACGAUGUGAUAAGACCAGUUUGCUACAGCAAUAUUAUAGCAGUUAUAGGUAAUGUUAAUCAGCUCAAGCUC
RNAcentral lists this long non-coding RNA (455 nucleotides) under Myripristis murdjan (pinecone soldierfish). RNAcentral describes it as "lncRNA (ENSMMDG00005001316.1)". Lineage: Eukaryota; Metazoa; Chordata; Actinopteri; Holocentriformes; Holocentridae. The record is from RNAcentral.